Molecule: ribosomal RNA, 500 nt
Filed under: uncultured bacterium
Lineage: Bacteria
Description: partial 16S ribosomal RNA
Rfam family: Bacterial small subunit ribosomal RNA
Source: RNAcentral
AUUGAACGCUGGCGGCAUGCCUUACACAUGCAAGUCGAACGGCAGCACGGGAGCAAUCCUGGUGGCGAGUGGCGAACGGGUGAGUAAUGUAUCGGAACGUGCCCAGUCGUGGGGGAUAACGUAGCGAAAGCUACGCUAAUACCGCAUACGCUCUGUGGAUGAAAGCGGGGGACCGUAAGGCCUUGCGCGAUUGGAGCGGCCGAUAUCAGAUUAGGUAGCUGGUAGGGUAAAGGCCUACCAAGCCGACGAUCUGUAGCUGGUCUGAGAGGACGACCAGCCACACUGGGACUGAGACACGGCCCAGACUCCUACGGGAGGCAGCAGUGGGGAAUUUUGGACAAUGGGCGCAAGCCUGAUCCAGCAAUGCCGCGUGCAGGAUGAAGGCCUUCGGGCUGUAAACUGCUUUUGUACGGAGCGAAAAGGCUCUCUCUAAUACAGGGGGCUCAUGACGGUACCGUAAGAAUAAGCACCGGCUAACUACGUGCCAGCCGCCGCAGUAA